RNAcentral lists this ribosomal RNA (2079 nucleotides) under Triticum aestivum (bread wheat). Its description in RNAcentral is "partial small subunit ribosomal RNA". Lineage: Eukaryota; Viridiplantae; Streptophyta; Magnoliopsida; Poales; Poaceae. The record is from RNAcentral.
AUGGGGCAAAACCGGGGCUGUGGCAUGGUGGCGAAGGCGGGAUUGGGGAUGGUGGUCGCCCCGACGAAGCUGGUGGUUGAUGUUGAUGUCACAACCCUCCCGCUGAGCUAUACCUCUUCUCUUAAACUUGCACCGACAUGUGGGCCUGCUCACCCGUUCCUUGCACACACAUUGUGUGUUUUUCCCCCACUAGUAAUAAUCGCUAGUGUUGGAUCCUAUUGGACAUGGUCCCAAUCGAUCCAGCCGCUGGUCUUCCUCCAAGUUCCACGCCGUUGCUGCCGGCCGCCGGCCUCGUUCGUGCCGCUGCUACCUUCUGCGGCACCACCGGCCGCCGGUCCCGUCUGCGCCGCUGCUGCCGGCCGCCGGCCACCGGCCCCGUCUGCACCGCUGCUGCCGGCCGCCGGCCUCGUCCGUGUCGCUGCUACCUUCUGCGGCACCACCGGCCGCCAGUCCCGUCUGCGCCGCUGCUGCCGGCCGCCGGCCCCGUCCGCACCGCUGCUGUCUUACGCGGUUGUCCGCGCUCGCUGUUGCCGUUUCACGUCCGGGUGUCUACUGCUUCAGAUCGUGGUUAUUCUCCUUUGGCUGGCUUUUCGUCUAAUUGAUCUGCUGGAUAGAAAAGAAGCACCAUGUCUUCCGCAUCAUCUGGCUAUGUCGCCAUCCCGCGCUGUCAGUGAGGUCCUCUGUCCUCCACGCCCAGUGCCUCCUGUGGCUCCUAUCCCACCACCGAUGCCACCGACUCCUGCCGCAGAUGCUUCUAAUGCUGAUAGGGCUGCAACCACGGUUGCUGCUGAUGAUGCGGCUGCUGCUUAUGACCAGCAGGUCUUGGAUUAUUCGGAUGCUCUUUCAGUUUACCGUGAUGCUCUGGCUGCUUACACUCAGUGGUGCGAUGAUGAUGCUCAUGCUGCGGCUGUCCUCACUGCCAGUGUUCUACCUCAGUUUGCUUCUGAGUUUAUGGGCCUCAGUACUGUCUUUGAGAUGUGGUCUCAUCUUCGCCAGCGCUAUCAGCCCUCCGGUGAUGCUCUCUACUUGUCAGUGGUCCGUCAGGAGCAUGCUCUCCAGCAGGGAGACUCUACUAUUGAUGAGUUCUACACUCAGAGUUCUGCUAUCUGGCGCCAGCUUGACUCCCUUCGCACUACUGUUUGUGGCACUUGCCCGUGUUGCCAGACUGUGAGAUCAGACUUGGAGUUUCAAUGUGUCUAUGAGUUCUUGUCACGGCUUCGUGGGGGUUUGAGCCUCGAUGUGCUCAGUUGUUUGCUCGUGGUCGUGUUCCUAUUUCUGAGGUGCUUUUUGAGCUUCGUGCUGAGGAGACUCGCCUACGUGGUGCUGGUUUGCUUCAGGUUCCCUCUGUGCUUGCUGUUCGAGCUGCUACUCCACCAGUGUCUUCUCGCUUCAGUGCUCCGCCGCUACUGCCCACUCCUUCGGGUAGUGUGGCCCGCUCUCGUGAAGGCCGAUCUCGUCCUCGUACUCAUUGUGACUACUGCAAUAGGGAUGGUCACCCUGAGUCUGACUGCUUCAAGAAGAAGCGUGAUAUGCGUAAUAGGGAGCGCAAUUCUUCUUCUGGGACUCAUGCUUCUUCCUCGGCGCCGUCUACUAAGGUGUUGUUGGUAUUGUGGUGACAACACCAUGGAGUUUUUGUCCUUUGGCCUUGACCGCGUCUCAUCGACAUCUGGUCCAACAUCUUUGGGAAGCCUAAAGGAAGUAUUGGAGUUAGUAAGUGUUGCUUUGCACCAUGGCAACGCGCCGGUGGUCUAUGGAGGAUGGAUGGAGCAUUGCAAGUUAUCUAAAUCAAAUGAGUCACUAGGAUUGGUAGCUCUUGCAACAACUGUACUCAUGAGUAAAACUAGACAUGUGGUUGGUGAGUGGGUGGAUAGAGAAAUGACACUAACUUGGUCUACCAUGACUAUGUUUGAUGCUAGGCAUGGGAUGCGCCAGCAAUAUGAGUUCAAUUUGAGAGUGUGCAGAGGAUAUGAUACGAUGAGGAAACAGAAGCACCUGGAAACGGAUGCAGGUGGAUGUAGGUGGCUUGAUCCACAGGCCGCAGCAGCCAGAGUUAUCACGAACAAGAAGAUGGUGCCAUGA